ACAAAUCAGCAUAGGGCCGCAAGGUCCUAUAUACACCCCAAGCCUGUGAAGGGUUGUACCUGGAUCGGCUUUGGUUGCAGCUUUCGGGCUGCAGGUUCGACUGUCGCAAGAUGGUCAAGCCACAUAGACGCUUGUAUUGUUUGACAGAGUUUAGUUGCUUUUAAAAGAUA
This 170-nucleotide unclassified non-coding RNA is filed under the name uncultured Rozellomycota. RNAcentral describes it as "uncultured Cryptomycota sequence contains ITS1". Lineage: Eukaryota; Fungi; Rozellomycota. The record is from RNAcentral.